GGAAAGCAUUCACAAUACUUUCCUAUGGAUGCUGGCGUCUUCUCACUGUGAUUUUCACAAUGAGAAGCGCGGAAGCGCCUCUAUUGGCUGACAAUGAGACAGCCACUAGAGGCUGGAUUAACCCUAUUAUAAACAUAGCACUUUCUCUGAAACUGCUAUGUUUAUAGAAAAAAGGGUUAAUCCUAGCUGGACCUGGCACCCAGGCCACCUUAUUAAGCUGAAGUGGUCUGGGUGCCUAUAGUGGUCCUUUAAUGAAGCAGUUUUGGUGUAUAGCUCAUGCCUGUGAAGUCUCACUGCUCAAUUCUCUGCAAUUUAGGAGUUUAAUCACUUCUGCUUAUGAAGCCUUAGCCACACCUCCCCUGGUUGUGACUCAGACAGCUUCCAUUAAAAAAAUUGUUUCCUUUUUAAUCAGAU
Molecule: non-coding RNA, 414 nt
Organism: Pelobates cultripes (western spadefoot toad)
Lineage: Eukaryota; Metazoa; Chordata; Amphibia; Anura; Pelobatidae
Source: the annotation of a GenBank genome assembly